UUGGAGGGCAAGUCUGGUGCCAGCAGCCGCGGUAAUUCCAGCUCCAAUAGCGUAUAUUAAAGUUGUUGCAGUUAAAAAGCUCGUAGUUGAAUUUUAGGCGUGGCCGGGCGGUCCACCUUCUGGGUGAGCACUGUCUCGUUGUCGGGCCUAUCCUUCUGUUGAGCCGGGAUGUCCUUAAUUGGGUGUGUCGGGGAAGCAGGACCAUUACCUUGAAAAAAUUAGAGUGUUCAAAGCAGGCGCAUGCCCGAAUACAUUAGCAUGGAAUAAUGAAACAGGACGUCGUGGUUCUAUUUUGUUGGUUUCUAGGACCACCGUAAUGAUUAAUAGGGAUAGUUGGGGGCAUUAGUAUUCAAUUGUCAGAGGUGAAAUUCUUGGAUUUAUUGAAGACUAACUUCUGCGAAAGCAUUUGCCAAGGAUGUUUUCAUUAAUCAAGAACGAAAGUUAGGGGAUCGAAGACGAUCAGAUACCGUCGUAGUCUUAACCAUAAACUAUGCCGACUAGGAAUCGGGCGAUGUUAUUUUGAUGACUCGCCCGGCGCCUUACGGGAAAC
Molecule: ribosomal RNA, 550 nt
Filed under: uncultured Geosiphon
Lineage: Eukaryota; Fungi; Glomeromycota; Glomeromycetes; Archaeosporales; Geosiphonaceae
Description: SSU rRNA
Rfam family: Eukaryotic small subunit ribosomal RNA
Source: RNAcentral